RNAcentral lists this ribosomal RNA (403 nucleotides) under uncultured Desulfuromonas sp. Its description in RNAcentral is "bacterial SSU rRNA". It matches the Rfam family "Bacterial small subunit ribosomal RNA", at positions 984 to 1382 of the family's 1533-position model. The record is from RNAcentral. Lineage: Bacteria; Pseudomonadati; Thermodesulfobacteriota; Desulfuromonadia; Desulfuromonadales; Desulfuromonadaceae.
ACAUCCCGACUCGCACUCUCUGGAAACAAGAGAGGUCGAGUUCGGCUGGAUCGGUGACAGGUGCUGCAUGGCUGUCGUCAGCUCGUGUCGUGAGAUGUUGGGUUAAGUCCCGCAACGAGCGCAACCCUCGUCCUUAGUUGCCAGCAUUCAGUUGGGCACUCUAAGGAGACUGCCGGUGUUAAACCGGAGGAAGGCGGGGAUGACGUCAAGUCCUCAUGGCCCUUAUGUCCAGGGCUACACACGUGCUACAAUGGCCGGUACAAAGGGUAGCAAGACCGCGAGGUGGAGCCAAUCCCAAAAAGCCGGUCUCAGUUCGGAUUGGAGUCUGCAACUCGACUCCAUGAAGUUGGAAUCGCUAGUAAUCGUGGAUCAGCAUGCCACGGUGAAUACGUUCCCGGGCCUU